This 253-nucleotide ribosomal RNA is filed under the name uncultured bacterium. Its description in RNAcentral is "partial 16S ribosomal RNA". It matches the Rfam family "Bacterial small subunit ribosomal RNA", at positions 524 to 776 of the family's 1533-position model. The record is from RNAcentral.
UACGUAGGGGGCAAGCGUUGUCCGGAAUCAUUGGGCGUAAAGCGCGUGUAGGCGGCUCGAUAAGUCUGCUGUAAAAGUCCAGGGCUCAACCCUGGAAAGCCGGUGGAGACUGUCAAGCUUGAGUCCGGAAGAGGCGAGUGGAAUUCCUGGUGUAGCGGUGAAAUGCGCAGAUAUCAGGAGGAACACCAAUGGCGAAGGCAGCUCGCUGGGACGGUACUGACGCUGAGACGCGAAAGCGUGGGGAGCAAACAGG